AUACGGAGGGUGCAAGCGUUACUCGGAAUCACUGGGCGUAAAGGACGCGUAGGCGGGAUGCCAAGUCUGAUGUGAAAUCCUAUGGCUCAACCAUAGAACUGCAUUGGAAACUGGUAACCUAGAGUAUGGGAGGGGGAGAUGGAAUUAGUGGUGUAGGGGUAAAAUCCGUAGAUAUCACUAGGAAUACCGAAAGCGAAGGCGAUCUCCUGGAACAUUACUGACGCUAAGGCGUGAAAGCGUGGGGAGCAAACAGGAUUAGAAACCCUUGUAGUCC
This 274-nucleotide ribosomal RNA is filed under the name uncultured bacterium. RNAcentral describes it as "partial 16S ribosomal RNA". It matches the Rfam family "Bacterial small subunit ribosomal RNA", at positions 523 to 796 of the family's 1533-position model. The record is from RNAcentral.